This 428-nucleotide ribosomal RNA is filed under the name bacterium. RNAcentral's name for it is "partial 16S ribosomal RNA". It matches the Rfam family "Bacterial small subunit ribosomal RNA", at positions 355 to 776 of the family's 1533-position model. The record is from RNAcentral.
UAGGGAAUCUUCGGCAAUGGGGGCAACCCUGACCGAGCAACGCCGCGUGAGUGAAGAAGGUUUUCGGAUCGUAAAGCUCUGUUGUAAGAGAAGAACGUGUGUGAGAGUGGAAAGUUCACACAGUGACGGUAACUUACCAGAAAGGGACGGCUAACUACGUGCCAGCAGCCGCGGUAAUACGUAGGUCCCGAGCGUUGUCCGGAUUUAUUGGGCGUAAAGCGAGCGCAGGCGGUUUAAUAAGUCUGAAGUUAAAGGCAGUGGCUUAACCAUUGUUCGCUUUGGAAACUGUUAAACUUGAGUGCAGAAGGGGAGAGUGGAAUUCCAUGUGUAGCGGUGAAAUGCGUAGAUAUAUGGAGGAACACCGGUGGCGAAAGCGGCUCUCUGGUCUGUAACUGACGCUGAGGCUCGAAAGCGUGGGAGCAAACAGG